Long non-coding RNA from Magnolia sinica, 235 nucleotides. RefSeq lists it as uncharacterized. The record is from RefSeq and is a predicted model, not a curated record. The transcript is spliced from 2 exons. NCBI's taxonomy places the organism in Eukaryota, Viridiplantae, Streptophyta, Magnoliopsida, Magnoliales, Magnoliaceae.
UUCUUUCAAGUGGAUGUUGCAUGUGGGAGGGUUGGAGCUGCAUAUUUCAAAUUCAAGCAUCUGGAUGAUGGAAUAUACGAAGCUUUUGAAAUUUCAAGGUAAAGUCGAGCACAUUUCUCUAAUGAAGCCAAAGAUUUGUAUUUUCAACAUUAUUGUAAUUGUAACUGUAAUUGAUUGAAUGAAUUCGAUUGUAAUUGAUUAUAAUUGUAAUUGAUUGAAUGAAGGAUUAUAAUUG